UACGAAGGGGGCUAGCGUUGCUCGGAAUCACUGGGCGUAAAGGGUGCGUAGGCGGGUCUUUAAGUCAGGGGGGAAAUCCUGGAGCUCAACUCCAGAACUGCCUUUGAUACUGAGGAGCUUGAGUCCGGGAGAGGUGAGUGGAACUGCGAGUGUAGAGGUGAAAUUCGUAGAUAUCGUAAGGAAGACCAGUGGCGAAGGCGGGUCUCUGGACAGUUCCUGACGCUGAGGCACGAAGGUCAGGGGAGCAAACGGG
This 253-nucleotide ribosomal RNA is filed under the name uncultured bacterium. Its description in RNAcentral is "partial 16S ribosomal RNA". It matches the Rfam family "Bacterial small subunit ribosomal RNA", at positions 524 to 776 of the family's 1533-position model. The record is from RNAcentral.